This 497-nucleotide ribosomal RNA is filed under the name uncultured bacterium. Its description in RNAcentral is "partial 16S ribosomal RNA". It matches the Rfam family "Bacterial small subunit ribosomal RNA", at positions 28 to 507 of the family's 1533-position model. The record is from RNAcentral.
GAUGAACGCUGGCGGCGUGCCUAAUACAUGCAAGUCGAGCGAACAGACGAGGAGCUUGCUCCUCUGACGUUAGCGGCGGACGGGUGAGUAACACGUGGAUAACCUACCUAUAAGACUGGGAUAACUUCGGGAAACCGGAGCUAAUACCGGAUAAUAUAUUGAACCGCAUGGUUCAAUAGUGAAAGACGGUUUUGCUGUCACUUAUAGAUGGAUCCGCGCCGCAUUAGCUAGUUGGUAAGGUAACGGCUUACCAAGGCAACGAUGCGUAGCCGACCUGAUAGGGUGAUCGGCCACACUGGAACUGAGACACGGUCCAGACUCCUACGGGAGGCAGCAGUAGGGAAUCUUCCGCAAAGGGCGAAAGCUUGACGGAGCAACGCCGCGUGAGUGAUGAAGGUCUUCGGAUCGUAAAACUCUGUUAUUAGGGAAGAACAAAUGUGUAAGUAACUAUGCACGUCUUGACGGUACCUAAUCAGAAAGCCACGGCUAACUACGUG